UGGGGAAUAUUGCACAAUGGGCGAAAGCCUGAUGCAGCGACGCCGCGUGAGGGAUGACGGCCUUCGGGUUGUAAACCUCUUUCAGCAGGGACGAAGCGCAAGUGACUGUACCUGCAGAAGAAGCACCGGCUAACUACGUGCCAGCAGCCGCGGUAAUACGUAGGGUGCGAGCGUUGUCCGGAUUUAUUGGGCGUAAAGAGCUUGUAGGCGGCUCGUCACGUCGGGUGUGAAAACUCGCGGCUCAACCGCGAGCCUGCACCCGAUACGGGCGGGCUAGAGUUCGGCAGGGGAGACUGGAAUUCCUGGUGUAGCGGUGGAAUGCGCAGAUAUCAGGAGGAACACCGGUGGCGAAGGCGGGUCUCUGGGCCGAUACUGACGCUGAGAAGCGAAAGCGUGGGGAGCGAACA
This 407-nucleotide ribosomal RNA is filed under the name uncultured Catenulispora sp. Its description in RNAcentral is "bacterial SSU rRNA". It matches the Rfam family "Bacterial small subunit ribosomal RNA", at positions 355 to 774 of the family's 1533-position model. The record is from RNAcentral. Lineage: Bacteria; Bacillati; Actinomycetota; Actinomycetes; Catenulisporales; Catenulisporaceae.